RNAcentral lists this ribosomal RNA (90 nucleotides) under Streptococcus pneumoniae. Lineage: Bacteria; Bacillati; Bacillota; Bacilli; Lactobacillales; Streptococcaceae. The record is from RNAcentral.
CCCGUUCCCAUACCGAACACGGAAGUUAAGCUCUCUAGCGCCGAUGGUAGUUGGGACCUUGUCCCUGUGAGAGUAGGACGUUGCCAGGCU